AUUUCUAAACCGACCGAACCAGU
RNAcentral lists this non-coding RNA (23 nucleotides) under Arabidopsis thaliana (thale cress). The record is from RNAcentral. Lineage: Eukaryota; Viridiplantae; Streptophyta; Magnoliopsida; Brassicales; Brassicaceae.